CCUACGGGAGGCAGCAGUGAGGAAUAUUGGUCAAUGGGCGGGAGCCUGAACCAGCCAAGCCGCGUGAGGGAAGAAGGUACAGCGUAUCGUAAACCUCUUUUGUCAGGGAACAAAGGCGGGGACUAGUCCCCGGAUGAGGGUACCUGAAGAAAAAGCAUCGGCAAACUCCGGGCAAGCAGCCGCGGUAAUACGGAGGAUGCGAGCGUUAUCCGGAUUUAUGGGGUUUAAGGGGUGCGCAGGCGGACUGUUAAGUCAGCGGGAAAAGCCCGGGGCUCAACCCCGGCGAGCCGUUGAAACUGGGGGGCUGGAGUGGGAGAGAAGUACGCGGAAUGCGCGGUGUAGCGGUGAAAUGCGUAGAUAUCGCGCAGAACCCCGAUGGCGAAGGCAGCGUACCGGUUCCACACUGACGCUGAGGCACGAAAGCGUGGGUAUCGAACAGGAUUAGAUACCCCAGUAGUC
RNAcentral lists this ribosomal RNA (459 nucleotides) under uncultured bacterium. RNAcentral describes it as "partial 16S ribosomal RNA". It matches the Rfam family "Bacterial small subunit ribosomal RNA", at positions 338 to 795 of the family's 1533-position model. The record is from RNAcentral.